AGGCGGGAUAAAUUCGGUAGACCGGUACUCUUAAUCCGUUGGUUCAAGGUUCAAGUCCUUGGUGGCCUACCA
RNAcentral lists this transfer RNA (72 nucleotides) under Desulfovibrio sp. RNAcentral's name for it is "tRNA-Lys". Lineage: Bacteria; Pseudomonadati; Thermodesulfobacteriota; Desulfovibrionia; Desulfovibrionales; Desulfovibrionaceae. The record is from RNAcentral.